Molecule: small RNA, 100 nt
Filed under: Flavobacterium sp. FPG59
Lineage: Bacteria; Pseudomonadati; Bacteroidota; Flavobacteriia; Flavobacteriales; Flavobacteriaceae
Description: Flavo-1 RNA
Rfam family: Flavo-1 RNA
Source: Rfam by way of RNAcentral
ACCAAGCCCUGCAUGAAGGAUGGAAGCGGCAUCCUUUUUAUACCUUUUAGGCUAGUAGCCUAAAAGGCAUAAAAAGAUAUAGCGAACAGCCUGACGCAGC